UGAGGUGUAGGGACAUCCGGGCCAUCCGGGGACUAUGCCAAAGCGGACAAUACUUACCAAGGGUAGGGCUAUGACAAUUGGUAUCAGAGCCGGCCUCGUUCCCUCUGGCUGGUGGUGGGGCAAACCUCAGCGAGGACGCUGAGUCCCUUAGGGGGGGUGAAUGUGACAUCCUGGACAUCAGGGGGCAUCACCUUAGGCGAAUCCCACAUCGGCUACGGACGAGGUAAACGAUCUAUACAUAAGAGG
RNAcentral lists this long non-coding RNA (246 nucleotides) under Jatropha curcas. Its description in RNAcentral is "long non-coding RNA (JCUR_LNC002022)". Lineage: Eukaryota; Viridiplantae; Streptophyta; Magnoliopsida; Malpighiales; Euphorbiaceae. The record is from RNAcentral.